CUCUUGGAGACGAAGGCUUUUGCACAACAAGGCGACUUCAAUCCAUCAGAUCAUCGUGAAUCUCUUUGAGUUUUCAAUUUUCAUGAGGAAAGUUCGUGGUGGUGGCAGCCAGGCGUAGUAUUCGCCUUCCUGUCCCUUGUUGUGGUGGUUCAAUUCGUUAGCUACUACUCAACCUUCUCUUUCGAUAGUGUCCCGUUCCACGGUCGUGACUCGUGAGCGAUCAUGAGUCUUGCUGAUGUUCUUCAUCUUCUAAUUAUUAUUUUUGGUCUUUUUAUUUUGUGAUAUGUAUUAAUUUGAUCAGUGCUGUUUUUGUUCUCAUUUUAUUGGUAAAAUAUAUUCAGUAUGCGUUUUAAGUAAAUAAACAUUUUAAAAUAAUUUUUUAAACAUAUGAUCUUAUAUUAUAUUCUCAAUGCAGUAGCGAGAAGUUUUAGAGUGGUUAAUUGUUACGUGUUGUGCACUACAUCCGAUUAAUUAGGAUCGAAUGAUGACUUUCACCUAAUGCAUCAUUACUUAAUCUCGCAUAGAAUAUAGAGAAAAUUACUUUAUGAGUUAUCGAUUACACAUGUACAAUUAGAAAAUCUGUAACAUAGAUGUUGAAUUUGAAGAAAAUAAGAAAGCACGAAUGAAUCGUACUUUAAACCAAUGUUAAACAAAUCUUACUUUAUACCAAACACAGACUAGAAUGUUCAUUUCUCAAAGAACAUACUCCUCUCAUAUUCAUUACAGGGCAUAAAUAUAAAUUUCAAAUAAUCUGAGAAGGCUAGUAGGACCCUCCAUGGGCUCAUGGCAUCAGGAAACCAUACAUGAGGAGAACAUAUGAAAAGUGAAAGAAGCAAGGUCAGGUGGGGACUAUAAGAACCAAAGUUUACCCGACAAUAACUGCUUUUGCUUUUUAUCCAUAUCAAAUUAUCAAUCUUUGUUCUGUUUGUGAGUUGUAAUCUUCCACCUUAAGGUUUUGAUAUCUCUAUUUUUUUUUUCUUUGUGCGGAUGUGUAUCUCUAUACGUUCUAGUACUCAGUGAUUAACUUAAAGAUCAUCUCAAAAACAAUUUCAAUGAAGAGAUACUGUCGAGAUUUGUUGCUAAUCAUCACCAUCUUCUUCAUCACCUUUGCUUUUGCCGAAGAGCUUCAAUGUUGUUCAGACAAAACAACCGACUUGGUUCACAAAGAGAGACUAGUGAUCAGUGGCAAGAGAGCUCAUGGAAGCAUUUCACAAAUGAGCAGGGCAAGAGGUGUUUAUGGAGGUGGAUCUCUUAUCAGACCUAAAGGAAAAAAGAACAUAGCCAUGGCCUCCAUGACUAAAUCUGCUUCACUUGCAAUGCUUCAAGUAACAGUUGCAAUUCUGAUCCAUCUUUUCUUGAACUGAAAUGUAAAAAAUCUUUGAUGAAUUAUUUCUUGAUGA
Long non-coding RNA from Brassica napus (rape), 1400 nucleotides. RefSeq lists it as uncharacterized. The record is from RefSeq and is a predicted model, not a curated record. NCBI's taxonomy places the organism in Eukaryota, Viridiplantae, Streptophyta, Magnoliopsida, Brassicales, Brassicaceae. The transcript is spliced from 2 exons.